AUUGAACGCUGGCGGCAGGCCUAACACAUGCAAGUCGAGCGGAGCGGCGGACGGGUGAGUAAUGCCUAGGAAUCUGCCUGGCAGUGGGGGAUAACGUCCGGAAACGGGCGCUAAUACCGCAUACUAUCAGAUGAGCCUAGGUCGGAUUAGCUAGUUGGUGGGGUAAAGGCCUACCAAGGCGACGAACCGUAACUGGUCUGAGAGGAUUAUCAGUCACACUGGAACCAAGACACGGUCCAGUCUCCUAAGGGAGGCAGCAGUGGGGAUUCUUGGACAAUGGGCGAAAGCCUGAUGCAGCCAUGCCGCGUGUAUGAAGAAGGCCUUCGGGUUGAAAAGUACUUUCAGUCGGAAGGCGUUACCGACAGAAGAAGCACCGGCUAACUCCGUGACAGCGGCCGCGGUAAUUC
RNAcentral lists this ribosomal RNA (407 nucleotides) under uncultured bacterium. RNAcentral describes it as "partial 16S ribosomal RNA". It matches the Rfam family "Bacterial small subunit ribosomal RNA", at positions 30 to 526 of the family's 1533-position model. The record is from RNAcentral.